This 217-nucleotide unclassified non-coding RNA is filed under the name Stellaria graminea. RNAcentral's name for it is "partial internal transcribed spacer 2". The record is from RNAcentral. Lineage: Eukaryota; Viridiplantae; Streptophyta; Magnoliopsida; Caryophyllales; Caryophyllaceae.
AUCGCAACCCCCCAACCCACUCUACGUGUGAAGGGGAGGAAGUUGGCUUCCCGUGCCUCACCGGGUGCGGUUGGCCUAAAUUUGGAGCCUAAGGCAUUGGGUUGCUGCGGCGAUAGGUGGUGAACAAGGCCUUGGCCGUGCAAGCAACCGGUCGUGCAACCCUUUGACAGUACGCGCUCGUAGGACCCAAGGAUGUUGCCUUGUUGCGACACAAACG